CUGAGAUCCACUAACCGGGCCUCAACCGGCCCAACUGGAUGCCCGUGUGGAUUUUAUUUGUGGGUCGUUUCGAUCGGGGGAUUUGGCGGGAGACGACUCCGACCCGGUAACGCAGCUCAUUUUUGAGAAGAGAGCCUGGACUGUGAAACCCUAGACUAGAGAGUAGAGAGCUCGCCGAUUCUCUGAUCCCGUCUUCGCGAGCCGAAAGCCCAGGGUGGUCUUCUCCGACUCCGAUCUCGUCCGGUGCCGGUGAACGAGAGUGAUACAUUUGAUGAAGCCACUAAAGAAUGUGAUGAGCACAACUUGCAACCCCAGUUCUUGAUCAGGAAAAUUGAGGAUGGGAACCUUGACGGACAGACAACAAGAAAUGAGGAAAACUUUGAUGCAAUUAUACAUCAUCUUCCUUUAAUCAAAAACAAAGCUUGUCUCAUGGCUUAUAUGUUAACCAUAACCUUUAACAUGAUCAUUUUUGCUUAA
Elaeis guineensis (African oil palm) is the source of this 477-nucleotide non-coding RNA. NCBI's taxonomy places the organism in Eukaryota, Viridiplantae, Streptophyta, Magnoliopsida, Arecales, Arecaceae. The record is from RefSeq and is a predicted model, not a curated record.